Molecule: transfer RNA, 70 nt
Filed under: Marmota monax (woodchuck)
Lineage: Eukaryota; Metazoa; Chordata; Mammalia; Rodentia; Sciuridae
Description: tRNA.Cys
Source: RNAcentral
UGAAAUGUAGCUCUGUGGUAGCGCUUGCUCAGCAUGUGCAAGGUUAUGGGUUCCAUUCCCAGCAUUGCAA